RNAcentral lists this ribosomal RNA (356 nucleotides) under Bifidobacterium ruminantium. RNAcentral describes it as "bacterial SSU rRNA". It matches the Rfam family "Bacterial small subunit ribosomal RNA", at positions 158 to 524 of the family's 1533-position model. Lineage: Bacteria; Bacillati; Actinomycetota; Actinomycetes; Bifidobacteriales; Bifidobacteriaceae. The record is from RNAcentral.
UGGUGGUAAUGCCGGAUGCUCCAGUUGGAUGCAUGUCCUUCUGGGAAAGAUUCUAUCGGUAUGGGAUGGGGUCGCGUCCUAUCAGGUAGUCGGCGGGGUAACGGCCCACCGAGCCUACGACGGGUAGCCGGCCUGAGAGGGCGACCGGCCACAUUGGGACUGAGAUACGGCCCAGACUCCUACGGGAGGCAGCAGUGGGGAAUAUUGCACAAUGGGCGCAAGCCUGAUGCAGCGACGCCGCGUGCGGGAUGACGGCCUUCGGGUUGUAAACCGUUUUUGACUGGGAGCAAGCCCUUCGGGGGGAGGGUACCUUUCGAAUAAGCACCGGCUAACUACGUGCCAGCAGCCGCGGUAAU